This is a long non-coding RNA of Bacillus rossius redtenbacheri, 2573 nucleotides long. RefSeq lists it as uncharacterized. Lineage: Eukaryota; Metazoa; Arthropoda; Insecta; Phasmatodea; Bacillidae. The record is from RefSeq and is a predicted model, not a curated record. The transcript has 2 exons.
UGAAUGGGGACAAGAGGGUGAAUAGGGACAGAAACUGGGAAAAACUAUAUUUAUAAUAUAUUUUGCUUAAACUAAUGAGUAUUAAAUUUCUAUAUAGUAGACUACGUUAAAAAAUUGUUUGUUUAUCUAAAAUAGCAAGUGCAAUUGUAUUCUGUAGCUUUUAUUUCAUGUUGGCAGCCCUAGUUAACAGCUGUUGAAUUGGGAGGCCAUAUUGUGCCAUCACAAAUGUUGUUUGCUACAAGCUUAUUUCAGCUUCUAUGUUUUCUUGAAGUAAAUGUCAGCUUUUAGUGUAGUCUGUGAUUAAAAUGCCUAGAAAAUACAAAAGGGAUCCUCGUUCAAAAGAGCAUCGUCCUAUAGACAGGAAAAAGGUGAAUCUGGCAGUGCAAGCAGUUAAAAUGGCAUGACUAUUAGGAAGGCUGAAGAAAAAUUUGGAGUUUCAAAGUCUGCCCUGCAUCGUUAUUUGAAGCAGUUUAGAGACAAUGAAGGUAAACAUAUUGAUUUCAAGAGUAAGCGUGGUCAGACUUUGCUCCCUUCAGAUUUUGAGAAGGAUAUUGUUGAGUGCCUCCAAACGUGUGCUGGAUGGGGAUAUCCUCUAAGUGAGUUCGACUUAUGCUGUUUUGUCAAAUACCACUCAGACAGAGAGGGCAAGACCAUAGCAAAAUUCAAAAACAACAUGCCUGGCUAUGAGUGGGCACUUCGCUUUUUAACUCGACACAAAACUGACCUCUCUCAAAGAUUAUGUCAAAACAUUAAAAGGAGCAGAGAAGAAGUCUCACCUGUAUCAAUAAGUUCUUUGAUGAACUAGAAGCGACUACAGAUGGCAUACGAUCACAUUUAAUAAUUAAUUAUGAUGAGACAGCACUCUCUGACGACCCAGGCCGAUGGAAACUCAUUUUCAAAAGAGGCUGCAAGUACCCCGAACGAGUAAUGAAUCGGAGUAAAGCAAGUGUAUCUGUCAUGUUUGCUGCAACUGCUUCAUGUUUGCUGCAACUGCUUCUGGGAAGAUGUUGUCUCCAUAUGUGAUUUACAAGUCCACAUAUUUGUACGAUUUGUGGAGUGAAGGUGGACCUCCUGGAACCUUUUACAAUCGUAGUAAGUCCGGUUGGAUGGAUGGCAACUGCUUUCUCGACUGGUUCAAACGAGUUAUCAUCCCAUACUGUCGUCGAUUCGAAGGAAAGAAACUUCUCAUAGGUGACAACUUAAGCUCAGACUUAUCUCCUACAGUAGUCAGAUUAUGCGAGGAAAAUUAAAUCUUGUUUGUUUUCCUUCCUCCAAACUCGACACAUCUGACACAGCCUUUGGAUGUCAGUCUAUUCAGGCCUCUCAAGAUGAGCUGGAGAAAAGUUAUAGAAGAAACUAAGGCCAAGGCUCAAGGAAAACACAAGCCAUUUGAUAAGAAAUAUUUCCCUUCCCUCCUGAAAAAGACCAUGAAUUUGAUGGAUAGGGAACUUGAACAUAACAUCCAGGCUGGAUUUGCUAAGGCAGGCAUUUUUCCUCUCAACAGGAAAAGGGUGCUCGACAAGCUACCUGCUUGACAUAAUAAGGAUGAACAAAAAGAACAGACUGUAGACAGCAGCCUAACAGAAUUCCUAAAAACUAUGAGGUAUGGAACUUCUGAUGAAGAAGUAACAAGGGGCAGAAAAAAGAGACUAAAUGUCCCUGCAGGGCGUAGUGUGACAGUUGCAGAUUUAGAGGGAUCUGAUACAAAUGAUUCUGAAUCAGAACAUGUGAUGUCAGAACAUGAUGAAUUGGUUUUAAAUAGACACGCAUCCAGUGAAUGUGAGAUACCUAACGGCAAGGAAGGAGAAAAAGAUCCAACAGAAGGGGACUGGGUAAAAGUCAGAUUUGCAUACGAUCGGGGCAUCAAGAUUUUCAUAGGAAGGAUAGUGAAGAAAUUUGAGACGGAUGAGCACCGGUACAUUGGAACAUUUCUGCGGCAAUCAACCAAGUGCUCAAACAUACCUAUUUGUUUUUCCCAAUGUGCCAGAUGAAAGUGACUUCUCAAAGAAUGACAUUUUAGCUGUCCUGAAUGAACCAACUGUGCGCAGGGGACAUUACUCAUUCACUCCAAAUCCACUUUCGACUUGAACUCAGUGUAAAUUUGAGAGCAGUUUCAUGAUUCUUAUAAUUAUUGACAUGUGUUCCAAAUAUUAUUAGUGUGCAUUGAUCAUUGCUAUAAAGAUUUUUUAAGCAGAACAAUAUUGUCAACAUUUCAUUAGGAGCCUCCUUUCAUUAAAUAAAAUAGAAAAUACCAUGUAAAAUUAAAUAAUUACUAUUUCCUUAUUUGGUAGUACAAAUGUAAAUGUCUGCUUGAUGCUUUGUAAAUUAUGUCCCUAUAUACCCCUGUGAUUUAAAAAUAGGGACUACCAUUAAUGAUACACUAUUGUCCCUAUUAACCCCGACAUUGGGGUGAAUAGGGACACCAAUAAAAAAAUUAAUAUAUGUUAAAUGACCGCAGGUAUCAAACUUUAAUAACAGGCUAUGAAUAGCUUAAGGGGAGUGCAAGAAGGAAAAAAAACUGUCUGUUCACAAAAAAAUUACAUUUAAAAGUUACUUGUAAAAACAAUUAAAAA